RNAcentral lists this ribosomal RNA (491 nucleotides) under uncultured Acidobacteriota bacterium. Its description in RNAcentral is "bacterial SSU rRNA". It matches the Rfam family "Bacterial small subunit ribosomal RNA", at positions 396 to 905 of the family's 1533-position model. The record is from RNAcentral. Lineage: Bacteria; Pseudomonadati; Acidobacteriota.
GCCGCGUGAGCGAUGAAGCCCUUCGGGGUGUAAAGCUCUUUCGGCAGGGACGAUAAUGACGGUACCUGAAGAAGAAGCUGCGGCUAACUACGUGCCAGCAGCCGCGGUAAUACGUAGGCAGCAAGCGUUGUUCGGAAUUACUGGGCGUAAAGAGUGUGUAGGCGGUGCUCUAAGUUCGGUGUGAAAUCUCCCGGCUUAACUGGGAGGGUGCGCCGGAAACUGGAGUGCUCGAGUGUGGGAGAGGAAAGCGGAAUUCCUGGUGUAGCGGUGAAAUGCGUAGAUAUCAGGAGGAACACCUGUGGUGUAGACGGCUUUCUGGACCAUUGCUGACGCUGAGACACGAAAGCGUGGGUAGCAAACAGGAUUAGAUACCCUGGUAGUCCACGCCCUAAACGAUGCAUACUUGGUGUCGGCCAUUCAGUUGGUCGGUGCCGGAGCUAACGCGUUAAGUAUGCCGCCUGGGGAGUACGGUCGCAAGGCUGAAACUCAAA